CACUAGAGACUUCAAAGCAGAGGAGUUUGACAACCACUGCUUUGGGGAUAGAGGCGUGGUGCACAAGAAGUGUACCACAAAGCAAACUGAAAAAGGACAGAGAGACCCAGUUAAUUAUUAGGUAUUUUCUGUUCCAAAGAUUGCUUGAUUCAUAAUCAACCUGAGAAGAUAUUUUGUGCUGUUUGGCCAUGGCCUUCAGGUGCUUGGCUCCACUAAGUUCCAAAGCUCCAGAAAGGAAUCGAAGUAGCUGUUGACAGAUUCAAAACUGCCCCUGAUGUGCCGAAGGCCCCAGUCUGAAUAGGACUCCUCUGCAUCAGGGCUGGUGUCACUCCGAGCUGGGCCACCCCACAGGCUGAGCCACAAAAUCAAGAAGCCAGUGGCCAGCUUCAUCCUGAAGCCAGCUGGGUGCUGAGGUCUUUCCUCAAACCCCAGCCAGUGUCCCAGGAAAUCCAGCCUUGCUUUUUGCAGAGAUACUUGCUCUUGCAAUCUAGUCACCAUGCUGGGAAGAAGCCCAGACCACAUGCAGGUACUCUGGCCAAAGCCAGCCUCAACCCUCAAGAUGACCCCAGUGCCAGUCAUCAACUGACUACAGAUGCAUGAAUGAUCCACAGCAAGAACCAGGAGUGAAGCCCACCUUACAACCAUGAGACAUAAAAAUAGUUAUUUUAAUCUA
Felis catus (domestic cat) is the source of this 673-nucleotide long non-coding RNA. RefSeq lists it as uncharacterized. The record is from RefSeq and is a predicted model, not a curated record. The transcript is spliced from 3 exons. Lineage: Eukaryota; Metazoa; Chordata; Mammalia; Carnivora; Felidae.